This 427-nucleotide ribosomal RNA is filed under the name uncultured bacterium. Its description in RNAcentral is "bacterial SSU rRNA". It matches the Rfam family "Bacterial small subunit ribosomal RNA", at positions 917 to 1345 of the family's 1533-position model. The record is from RNAcentral.
GGACCCGCACAAGUAGUGGAGCAUGUGGUUUAAUUCGAUGCAACGCGAAGAACCUUACCAGGGUUUGACAUCCUGCGAAUCUCUUGGAAACGAGAGAGUGCCUUCGGGACCGCAGUGACAGGUGGUGCAUGGCUGUCGUCAGCUCGUGUCGUGAGAUGUUGGGUUAAGUCCCGCAACGAGCGCAACCCACGUCUUUAGUUGCCAGCAUUUAGUUGGGCACUCUAGAGAGACCGCCGGUGAUAAACCGGAGGAAGGUGUGGAUGACGUCAAGUCAUCAUGCCCCUUACAUCCUGGGCUACACACGUACUACAAUGCUACGGACAAAGAGCAGCAAGUUCGCGAGGACAAGCAAAUCUCAUAAACCGUGGCUCAGUUCAGAUCGUAGGCUGCAACUCGCCUACGUGAAGGAGGAAUCGCUAGUAAUCGC